UACGUAGGGUGCGAGCGUUAAUCGGAAUUACUGGGCGUAAAGCGUGCGCAGGCGGUGAUGUAAGUCCGAUGUGAAAUCCCCGGGCUUAACCUGGGAACUGCAUUGGUGACUGCAUUGCUGGAGUAUGGCAGAGGGGGGUGGAAUUCCACGUGUAGCAGUGAAAUGCGUAGAGAUGUGGAGGAACACCGAUGGCGAAGGCAGCCCCUGGGCCAACACUGACGCUCAUGCACGAAAGCGUGGGGAGCAAACAGG
This 252-nucleotide ribosomal RNA is filed under the name uncultured bacterium. RNAcentral describes it as "partial 16S ribosomal RNA". It matches the Rfam family "Bacterial small subunit ribosomal RNA", at positions 524 to 776 of the family's 1533-position model. The record is from RNAcentral.